GGGCAAGAGAACGAAACCCAUCGGAGUCGGCCAAGAGCUCAGGGGCGGGCCGGCGGAGGCGCUCGGACUCCUCGGCGACGACGAUCGAGAUCGCCGAUCGCUCCUCGCCGUUCGCCGCCGCCCGGCCGAUCCCCUGCGACGAGCCCGACCUCCGAUCCGCAUACCCGAGAGAGCGAUGCUGGUGAGUGGUCACUGUUGGCUUGGAACUUGUUUUUGACUCAUGUUGGAUAAGCCAGUGAACUGGUCUGCUUAUGUUGGAGUUACAUCAUUGUUAAUCACAUGCCAGUACAGCUCCUACUAGAACACGCAACUUGCAAGGCUGCCAAGACACAUAUAUAAACAAAUCAAAAGGCAUUGGGGGCAGCAGAUUGCACAAAGCAGAAACGAACAAAAAGGGGUGGAAGCAGCAGAAGCACCAAGAAGUGUUCCAGACCAAGAAGAGAAAGGUCCAUGAUUGUGCAUGCAUGCAAAAUGCGAGGAGCAAAGCACAUCACCGAGGGGAAAAGUGAGGAGACGGAGAGCAUCACC
Long non-coding RNA from Panicum virgatum (switchgrass), 528 nucleotides. RefSeq lists it as uncharacterized. The record is from RefSeq and is a predicted model, not a curated record. Lineage: Eukaryota; Viridiplantae; Streptophyta; Magnoliopsida; Poales; Poaceae. The transcript is spliced from 3 exons.